Molecule: small nucleolar RNA, 77 nt
Filed under: Oryzias javanicus (javanese ricefish)
Lineage: Eukaryota; Metazoa; Chordata; Actinopteri; Beloniformes; Adrianichthyidae
Description: Small nucleolar RNA SNORD2 (ENSOJAG00000011881.1)
Rfam family: Small nucleolar RNA SNORD2
Source: Rfam by way of RNAcentral
GAGUGAUAUGAUGGCAUACCAUCUUUCGGGACUGACUGAAAAAAAUGGAGAGUCCUUAAUUGUUUUACUGAUCACUC